Molecule: long non-coding RNA, 508 nt
Organism: Oncorhynchus gorbuscha (pink salmon)
Lineage: Eukaryota; Metazoa; Chordata; Actinopteri; Salmoniformes; Salmonidae
Exons: 2
Source: RefSeq, a predicted model, not a curated record
AGUCCUAUAGACCCUGGUCUAAAGUAGUGCCCUCAAUCCUAUAGGUCCUGGUCAAAAGUAGUGCACUAUAUAGGGAAUAGGGUGCCAGUUGACACACUACCCUGUCAUAUAUAUAUAUAUAUUAGGGCAUUUUGUCAGCUGUAUUUCAUUCUCUUUCUGUCUGCAACCUUCAUGAAACGACAUGGGGUGUGUUUAUUAGUGCAGACCGUAGCGAAACAGUGCAACAGAAAACGAAAACAACCGCUUCUUAUUGGACAAUAUCGGGUAGUUCACUCCCCGUUUUGGCUCGUUUGAAUCCUAAUGAACACACCCCCGGCCUUAUUUCCCCCUGCCACAAUGUUUGACUGUUUUGGACUGAAACAACGAGCACUGUUACCAUAGUAACCACCAUGAAGGUGAUUGUACAGGAAGUCAUCUGGCCUUUGUCUGUGAACAUAAUGUUGUUGUUUUUUUUUCGUAUGAUAUUUUCCUGUACUGUUGGUUUGCAAGUAAACAUCUGUAAAAUACC